GUACACGCUGUGACUAGCAUAUCAAUAAGCGGAGGAAAAGAAACUAACAAGGAUUCCCCUAGUAACGGCGAGUGAAGCGGGAAGAGCUCAAAUUUGAAAUCUUAAAGGGUUUCCCUUUACGAAUUGUAGUUUAAAGAAGUGUUUUCUGUUGAGGUUUUGGUAAAAGUUCUUUGGAAUAGGACAUCAUAGAGGGUGAGAAUCCCGUAUUUGACCUUUACUUUCAACUUUGUGAUACACUUUCAAAGAGUCGGAUUGUUUGGGAAUGCAGUCCAAAAUGGGUGGUAAAUUUCAUCUAAAGCUAAAUAUUGGCGAGAGACCGAUAGCGAACAAGUACCGUGAGGGAAAGAUGAAAAGAACUUUGAAAAGAGAGUUAAACAGUACGUGAAAUUGUCAAAAGGGAAGCGUUUGACACCAGUGUUGUUUUUCUGAAAAUCAAUUAAAGAACUGUUUAUGCUAAGCUGUUUAGACUUUAUCAGCUAUCUGUUUAGUUUUGAGCUUUUCUUUAAUGCACUUUUCAGUUAACAAGUCAACAUCAAUUUCUUUUGCUGUAAAAAAGCUUGAGGAAGGUGGCUUGAGAUUCGUCUUAAGUGUUUAUAGCCUCUUGCUUAUGCAGUCGGAGAGAUUGAGGUCUGCAGCGUAGAUCCUUCGGGGCUAAAUGCAUUUGUGCUAAGUUAUAGCAUUUUAUAGACAACUUGUUGACUAUGAUUUGUCUUGUAGCUUACUCGCUUAUGUUAUUUUACCUACGCUUAGGAUGUUGACUGAUAUGUAGUCGUA
Molecule: ribosomal RNA, 774 nt
Filed under: uncultured Neocallimastigales
Lineage: Eukaryota; Fungi; Neocallimastigomycota; Neocallimastigomycetes; Neocallimastigales
Description: partial large subunit ribosomal RNA
Rfam family: Eukaryotic large subunit ribosomal RNA
Source: RNAcentral